RNAcentral lists this long non-coding RNA (1131 nucleotides) under Capsicum annuum. RNAcentral describes it as "long non-coding RNA (CANN_LNC006815)". The record is from RNAcentral. Lineage: Eukaryota; Viridiplantae; Streptophyta; Magnoliopsida; Solanales; Solanaceae.
UUUGAUUCAUUUCACGAAUUAAUGGUUUCAGUUUAACAAGAUGAAAUACGUGCAGUAGUAUUCAAGUUAAGAGAAAUAGCAAGCUAGGGUUAUGUCCACCUUGUAGUUUUCAAUACUUUCUAACUAUGGGCUUUAUGAAUUCAUACAUGCAUCGUGCUUACAGAGAAACAUAUUGUAUUUAAUAACAUAAUCCAAGUGUUUCUCAACCAUCAAGGACUAAUUCACUUUAGUUCUCUCGAAUCAAAACCGUUAACCAAAAACAUUACGAAAUCUCUAAGUAGUUAAUCCUGUUAAGGCCUUAACAUUUGAAAUAGGGGUUGGAAAUCCUAUUUUCUUGUCACUACUCUCUUUUCCGAACAUCAACCUUUCUUUCGAAUAAGUUGUGUUUUAAUGCAUAAUGAAUUCAGAACCCAAAGUGAUAGAUUGUAUGAUACAAGGCUUCCAUAACCCUAACUAAUAAACUUAUCUACUUAUGGGUAAAAUAGAAAUCACAAUAGAAAUAUUCAUCAUACCAAAAACUAGAACGAUCUUGGUGGAGAAGAUGAAUGGCAUUUUUCCUUCUGUGUAAGCAUCCUAUCUCCUCUCUCAAAAUAAUACAAAAUAAUGAAUAAUAAAUAAAAAUUCAGCAUUAAACCUUUGAAUAAUCUUUUUUCACAUAAUUUCUUUCUAAGUGCCUGCACUAAUUAUAAAUGAAAAACUAGUGUUGGACAUAGUUUUUAGGCACCACAUUUGGUCCAGACUGCUACUCUCUCUUGUGUCAUAUGCCAUCCACAUUGUAUAGUCCUAUUAUGUCUUCAUCUACUACAUUAAUGCCUGAAAUUAUGCUAAUCACAUUGGUUAUCUCAAUUACAUAGAAGUAGAGUAAAAACAUAAGAAACUAGGCACUUUGUUCUUCAAACUUAGCUAAAAUAUGGAUAAGUUUUGGUGUUUAGGCGUAUAAAUAAUCAAAAGAUCACCACCCCACACUUAAAGCAUUUGUCGUCCUCUAACAAAAUAUCCAUUUAUGCAUACUGCACACGUCAUAGCACCCAAAAACGAAGACAAGAUGCUCAAAUAGGCUCACACAACAAUUAUGACCAAGAACUAGAUUCAGGAAUCAUUACUAGAGACAACCUACCCUCAAGAAUAAAC